AGAUUGAACGCUGGCGGCAUGCCUUACACAUGCAAGUCGAACGGCAGCACGGGAGCAAUCCUGGUGGCGAGUGGCGAACGGGUGAGUAAUAUAUCGGAACGUGCCCAGUCGUGGGGAUAACGCAGCGAAAGCUGUGCUAAUACCGCAUACGAUCUAUGGAUGAAAGCGGGGAUCGCAAGACCUCGCGCGAUUGGAGCGGCCGAUAUCAGAUUAGCUAGGUUGGUAGGGGUAAAAGCCCGUAACCGAAGGCGAACGAUCCGUGUAGCGUGGUCUGGAGAGGACGACCAGCCACACUGGAACUGACGACGACGGUCCAGACCUCGUACGGGAGACAGCGAGGUGGGUAAUUUU
Molecule: ribosomal RNA, 351 nt
Filed under: uncultured soil bacterium
Lineage: Bacteria
Description: bacterial SSU rRNA
Rfam family: Bacterial small subunit ribosomal RNA
Source: RNAcentral